RNAcentral lists this ribosomal RNA (786 nucleotides) under uncultured bacterium. RNAcentral's name for it is "bacterial SSU rRNA". It matches the Rfam family "Bacterial small subunit ribosomal RNA", at positions 8 to 796 of the family's 1533-position model. The record is from RNAcentral.
AGAGUUUGAUCCUGGCUCAGGACGAACGCUGGCGGCGUGCCUAACACAUGUAAGUCGAACGGGACUGGGGGCAACUCCAGUUCAGUGGCAGACGGGUGCGUAACACGUGAGCAACUUGUCCGACGGCGGGGGAUAGCCGGCCCAACGGCCGGGUAAUACCGCGUACGCUCGUUUAGGGACAUCCCUGAAUGAGGAAAGCCGUAAGGCACCGACGGAGAGGCUCGCGGCCUAUCAGCUAGUUGGCGGGGUAAUGGCCCACCAAGGCGACGACGGGUAGCUGGUCUGAGAGGAUGGCCAGCCACAUUGGGACUGAGACACGGCCCAGACUCCUACGGGAGGCAGCAGUGGGGAAUCUUGCGCAAUGGCCGCAAGGCUGACGCAGCGACGCCGCGUGUGGGAUGACGGCCUUCGGGUUGUAAACCACUGUCGGGAGGAACGAAUACUCGGCUAGUCCGAGGGUGACGGUACCUCCAAAGGAAGCACCGGCUAACUCCGUGCCAGCAGCCGCGGUAAUACGGAGGGUGCGAGCGUUGUCCGGAAUCACUGGGCGUAAAGGGCGCGUAGGUGGCCCGUUAAGUGGCUGGUGAAAUCCCGGGGCUCAACUCCGGGGCUGCCGGUCAGACUGGCGAGCUAGAGCACGGUAGGGGCAGAUGGAAUUCCCGGUGUAGCGGUGGAAUGCGUAGAUAUCGGGAAGAAUACCAGUGGCGAAGGCGUUCUGCUGGGCCAUUGCUGACACUGAGGCGCGACAGCGUGGGGAGCAAACAGGAUUAGAUACCCUAGUAGUCC